GAUGAACGCUGGCGGCGUGCCUAAUACAUGCAAGUCGAACGCGAGCACUUGUGCUCGAGUGGCGAACGGGUGAGUAAUACAUAAGUAACCUGCCCUAGACAGGGGGAUAACUGCUGGAAACGGUAGCUAAGACCGCAUAGGUAUGGACACUGCAUGGUGACCAUAUUAAAAGUGCCAAGGCACUGGUAGAGGAUGGACUUAUGGCGCAUUAGCUAGUUGGUGAGGUAACGGCUCACCAAGGCGACGAUGCGUAGCCGACCUGAGAGGGUGACCGGCCACACUGGGACUGAGACACGGCCCAGACUCCUACGGGAGGCAGCAGUAGGGAAUUUUCGGCAAUGGGGGAAACCCUGACCGAGCAACGCCGCGUGAAGGAAGAAGGAAUUCGUUCUGUAAACUUCUGUUAUAAAGGAAGAACGGCGGAUAUAGGGAAUGAUAUCCGAGUGACGGUACUUUAUGAGAAAGCCACGGCUAACUACGUGCCAGCAGCCGCGGUAAUACGUAGGUGGCGAGCGUUAUCCGGAAUUAUUGGGCGUAAAGAGGGAGCAGGCGGCAGCAGAGGUCUGUGGUGAAAGACUGAAGCUUAACUUCAGUAAGCCAUAGAAACCGGGCAGCUAGAGUGCAGGAGAGGAUCGUGGAAUUCCAUGUGUAGCGGUGAAAUGCGUAGAUAUAUGGAGGAACACCAGUGGCGAAGGCGACGAUCUGGCCUGUAACUGACGCUCAUUCCCGAAAGCGUGGGGAGCAAAUAGGAUUAGAUACCCUGGUAGUCC
Molecule: ribosomal RNA, 770 nt
Filed under: uncultured bacterium
Lineage: Bacteria
Description: bacterial SSU rRNA
Rfam family: Bacterial small subunit ribosomal RNA
Source: RNAcentral